This 4297-nucleotide long non-coding RNA is filed under the name Homo sapiens (human). RNAcentral describes it as "non-protein coding lnc-MRPS27-1:3". The record is from RNAcentral. Lineage: Eukaryota; Metazoa; Chordata; Mammalia; Primates; Hominidae.
AGGGAGCCGGGAGGAGGAGGAAGAGGAGGAGGAAAGGACCACCCGGCACAUCCUCACGCGGUGGCUGCCUCCGCUCUUCCAGCCGUUGGCCCGGGGCUGAUGUCAUCUGCAGCAAAUCAUCUCGCCCGCGGCCCGGAAGCUGGAGGGACGAGGUGUGCGGACAAUGGUCGGGGCAGGGCCGCGAGCCAAGGGGCUGGGGCGCCCGCUGAGCUCCUGCUGCAGCCGUGAAGGGGGAAGACGCUCUCAACCUACACCACCCACCACGUACACACCCACUGCCCACUCCUCACCCUCACCCUGUCUGUGCAUGGGAAUGGGAUGAGUUUCCAUUUUCGGAGUGGGGGUCUUUUCUCUUGUUGGAGUUGCACUAGUCAGGCCUCUGCCUUGUGUGCUGUGUAUGAUGUAGCCAGGUUCUCAGGAACUGGGAUAGCCACAGUGGGCAGAUGCGGGGCUGUGGGUACCCCGCCUAGGAAGACGGAACCUGUCUUUUCUUUGACCUUGUGGCUUUAAGAAGACGAAUUUACUGAUAUUUACCAAUAUCAAUAUUUACCACCUUCACUUAAAGAAUACAUCAAAAAUGCAAAACUUAAGCCUACUAUUGUUCAGGCCUUGGAUUCUACUCUGGCAGGGCCAAGGAUGAAAAAGUACUGGCUUUGUGGUGCUCAUGGGAAAUGAGAGAAAUGCAGAUGUAUUAUAUUAGAUACCAAUUUCUUUCCUUAAUGUGCUGAACAGAUAGUAUCAGUAAUAACAAAGAAUAAAGAGAAGAUACUGUCUCUACUCAGCAGGGUUACAGUGACUAUAAUGUACUUUUCAGUUCCUUGGGGAACACACAAGCAAAAUUACCUCGUGACAAUGAUGUCUUUUAAAAUACCUGUAGCAUUGGGAAUUUUUAUUGCCUUUGUUUGUGUUUAGAAGAACUAAAAAAUGUGUUUUUUGUUUUUGUUUUUUUGUUUUUUUUUUUAAGGCAGCCUAUUUACAACCGUUUCUCACAAACAUACUGAAUAUAGCUUCUGUCCCAGAAAAGGGGAGGAGGGUGAGGAAAGAGCAAAAUGUGCAAACAUGGUAUCAUAGAAGACUGGGGAAUUCGAGCUUUAAGGAAGAGGAAUAGAUGGAAAUUAGUCAACAUAGCUUUAAUACUAGAAUGCCUGUUAGUAAAAUAUAGAUGAUAGAUAGAUAGAUAGAUAGAUAGAUAGAUAGAUAGAUAGAUAAUCACCUAGAUAUUCUUAAGAUUUCCAAAAUAACCCAGUGUCUUAGGUGUUAGCUGCCAUGACUUAUUGGUCAUGUACUCUUUGCUCUUAUAUCUUUCCUGACACCCUGGCAUGGGAGACAUGCUGGGCAGCCAAGGGCUGGGGGGUUCCAUCCAACAUGUCAAUCUGAUCAAUGCAGAAUGAAAAUACCGUCUGGCCCGCAGUAUUUGGGAUCUGUGACAGGAUCACUAGAGAGUUGCAUUCACCAGUAAUUAGAUGAAGUGUUUCCAACUAGCUGCAUUCACCAGUAACUAGAUGAAGUGUUUCCAGAUAAUAUUUUGGUUAAGAUAUUCAAUUGCUGUUCAAGAAGUAAGGCCAGCACCAAAGCCCAUAACUGGGGUGAGGGGCAGGAAAUAUGGUGAAGAGCACUGUUUUCUAAAGGUCAUCCGUUGGAUUCCAGCCUCAUCUAGUUUGUGUUUGGUUUUCCUUUCUUUGAACCAUUGUUACUUUUAUGUAUGUAAUAGUUUUCUUUUAUGCAGUUUAUUUCUUUUACUUAAAUUUAUUUUUAAAUGCAAUUCUAUGUUGCUGUAUAAAUGGAAACACUAAUAUCACUUAUUAAUAGAAAGUAUCCCUAAAAAUAUACACAAUGAAGAUAAGAUGUGAUCAAAUUCCUGCUACAUACUGUUAUGAUUUGCUCAAGACUCUGAGUCCAAGGCUCUCCUUUCUUGGUUGAAAACAGAGAUUGGCCAAGUGUUAGAGAGGUAUUAAAGAGAUACUAACACCUAACUGAGUUGUUCUCCAUGUUGCAACAGAAGAUUGGAUGAAAAUUAUAACAGAGCGCUUUCUUACUGUGUGUGUCUGUGCAAUUAAACACCAUGACCGUGACCACCUAAGUCAUCACCCACACUUUGAAAAAUAGAGGCAUAAUGGGAGAACACAGACUAGGGAUGCAGAAUACUACUUUACAGCUCGGUAACUUUGGCAAGUGACUUACUCUUUUUGAUCUUCCAUCUCCUUAUUUAAUGAGAAGAAGAACAUCUUUAUAACUGUUAAAGUAACUGUAAGAAAGAAGGAAAUGAUAGAAUGUGUAAGCACCUAAUACAGUGGCUGGGCAUAGUAAGCAAUCAAGGGAUGGUUGAUUCAUUGACCUGUUUUCUCCCAGUUACUAAGACAAUGGAGCAAAAGCAGUCUUAUAAAAUGUGCAAGUGAUACUGCUACAACACCUCUGAAACAAGAACAGAAUAUUACAUUAUUAUACUUCAAUACUAGAAAAGUAGCCCCUUCCCCUCUUCAUCCCAAGAAAAUGUAUACAGUUCUAAGGAGGAAAAAGGGGGAAAACUAACAUAUAAGAGCACCAAUAUUGCCAGCUGCUCAACUGACAUCACCUGGAUAUACCAAAGGCACCAGAAUCUUGACAUGCUCCAAACCCAAAUCAUCUUUUACCUCUAAACGGGAUCCUCUCUCAUUCUUGUUAUUUCAAUGAACCAUAACACCAUGUAUCCCAUGAUGCAAACCAAAACCUCACAAAUAUUUUGGACUCUCCCCUGACCCUUAGCCUCGUGUGCAAUCCAGCAUGGAGUCUGGUCAAUUUCACCUUCAGUAUCUCUUCAAUCCAUCCACGUUUCUCCAUUAUCACCAACCUAGUCCAAGCUAGCAUCAUUGUGAUAGGUACUAGUGUACCGGUUAGAAAAUGGGUUCUGGAGUCAGACUGCCUGGUUUUGAAUCCUAAUACCAUAAUUUAUUAGCUGUGUGGCCUUAAGCAAGGUGCUUAACCACUCUAUACCUUGGUUUUCUCAUUUGUAUAGUAGAGAUGAGUACCGACCUCAUGGACAGGAGGACAGUUUAAAUAUGCAAAUUACUUAAAACAGUGCCUUGCAUAUAAUGAGCACUUAAUAGGGAUUAGUUGUUUUUGGUAUGGGGUUAGUUGUUUUUGGCUGUUAUUGUUUAACAUUUUACUAUGGAAAAUUUCAAACAGAGAGAGUAUAAUGUAAGUAACACCCACAUACCCAUUAUCCCCAAUCCAUAGAUUUUUAUAGUUUGCUUCUUUAAAUCAAGAUUGAAAUAAUGUCUAUAUAUUUCAACUGAUUCAUCAGUCUUAAACUCCUUUGAUCUAUGUAAUCCUGCUAUUUUUUUCCUUGUAAUUUUCUGUUGAAUAGUGGCAACAUUGUUCAGCAGAGUUUCACAAAGCAUAAAUUUUGCCGAUUGCAUCACCUGUUGUGUUAUUUAACAUGUUCUUCUAUCUUCUGAAUUUUCUGAGAGAACUAAAGUCUUGAUCAGAUGCAGAUUUGAUAUUUUUUACAUGUAUACUUCAUAGGUAAUAUUGUGAUCUUCCAUCAGAAGGCACCUAAAGACUAGUUAACCCUCAUUCUGUGAUUUUAGCAGCUAUUGAUGAUCAUUACCUAGAUCCAUUAUUUCACUAUGGAUUGAAAAAAUGAUAAUAUUCUAAUUUUGUUAUUAUUUAUUUGACAGCUAGAAGACUUCUGUUAGGAGAAGCGUUAUCCUGUCAGUUGAUUACCCUGAGGUACGGUAUGUACAGGAAAAGAAGGAUAAACAAAUGAUUUUUUCUCUUUAUUUACUGAUUUUCAAAAUAAUUAAUUUAUUCCAAAUCAUUCUCUAAAGGUGACUAAUUUUUUGUAUCAUUACAAAUAUAACUUACAUUAUUCAUAUUGAUGCUUUCAUUUUUUCAUCUUUGGCCAGUAGUAUGGUAAGGUAUCCCUAGCUUACCUUGCACAUAUCUGGCCUCAGAACCUGGAAUGAGCCGUUUCUCUAUGGAAUCCAAGUUCCUUACGUGGGUAAUGGUAUUUGGAGACCCCUGUAUACCAGGUGCUACUACUAUUUUGAUCAUUGUUUCUAGAUAUUUUCAGUGGACAGAAAUAUGAAAUAAAUUGUUUUUCAAGUAUGAGUUCAUACUUAUACCUCUAACUCAGAAUCGGGACUACAGGGAUUUUGCCUAACGUUUUAUCUUGCAUCUGUAUUUCCUUUGUCCUAUGCCUAGAAUUCCAGUUUUCAAAGACUCCAAGGUGACAGAAUUAGAACAGCAGAUAGUUUCUCAUUUUUCUUGUUCCACAAUAUAUACAAAUUACCCUCAUGGUAGUUUUAGAUACGAAUGC